ACACACCAAACUACUUCAUAGCCACAAGUAUAACUGUCAGCUGAGCAGCACCUCCAUUUUGAUAAAAAAUUACUUCGAACUAAUUUGAACAUUCAUUUUGACAGUAUCUAAAUUCUAAACCAAAAAUUAGUUCCUCGACUCUAUUGCUGAUACAUUUUCAUGAACAACGCUACUGCCAACCAAACAUGGCCUUGAUUCCAUCUCCUAAUAUCCUUCAAUUCUCCGUUCAAUCUCCGUCUACAUCAGUUCACUAUCUUUUCUUCAGCUCGCCGUGGCCUUGUUCACAGCAGCUUUCAAAGAGAAAUGUAAAUGUUCCGUUGGUUCCGAUCGCUGUGAAGGUUUCGUCCAAGGUCAGAUGUUUUACGAAAUCGACGGAGGAGAAUCGGUGGAUUGAACCCGAGAAUGUUGCUGAUGAUGACGUGAAUGGAGUGAGAGAAGACAUCAAGGUACAGCCGCCGCAGAGGAUUGUUACCUCGGCUAGUGAUUCUUUGUCGCUUGGAAUUCGAGAGCCGGUUUAUGAGGUGGUAGAAGUGAAGGCAAAUGGGAUAGUAUCGAGAAAGAAGAUAAAUAGACGGCAAUUGUUGAAGUCCAGUGGUCUUCGCCCAAGGGAUAUCCGGAGUGUUGAUCCAUCACUUUUUUUGACAAACUCUAUGCCCUCUUUGCUGGUACGUGAGCAUGCCAUUCUGCUAAAUUUGGGUUCAUUACGAGCAAUAGCAAUGCAAGAGUGUGUCCUUAUAUUUGACUAUAACUGUAAAGGAGGGAAAGCUUUUAUAGACACGUUGUUACCUCGACUAAACCCCGGAAACAUGAAUGGAGGUCCAUGUAUGCCGUUUAUGAUUGAAGCCGUUGAAGCAGCGUUACUUUCACGUGUGCAGCAUUUGGAGCAGAGACUAAUGAAUAUAGAACCUCGUGUUCAAGCACUGCUUGAGGUUUUGCCCAACCGAUUAACUGCUGACAUAUUGGAGCAACUCCGUAUCAGCAAGCAAACCUUGGUUGAAUUGAGUUCAAGGGCAGAAGCUCUUAGACAAAUGCUCCUUGAUCUGUUGGAGGACACUCAUGAAAUACGUCGUAUAUGUAUAAUAGGAAGAAACUGCACACUUACCAAGGGGAAUGACAAAUUGGAAUGCUCUGUUCCCCUUGAAAAACAGAUAGCUGAGGAAGAGGAGGAAGAAAUUGAGAUGCUGUUGGAAAAUUACCUUCAGAGAUGUGAAUCUUGUCACGGGCAGUCGGAAAGGCUUCUUGAUUCUGCUAAAGAAAUGGAAGAUUCUAUUGCUGUCAAUCUAAGCUCUCGGAGGCUUGAGGUAAGCAGAGUGGAAUUACUUCUUCAGGUUGGGACCUUUUGUGUGGCAGUUGGUGCUCUAGUUGCAGGUAUUUUUGGCAUGAACUUGAGGUCCUACCUUGAAGAACACGUGUUUGCGUUUUGGCUAACGACAGCUGGCAUAAUUGUUGGUGCUGUUGUGGGAUUUUUUCUAAUGUAUUCAUAUCUUAAGACUAGGAAGAUACUAUAAAUGAGGAGGUCAUUCAAGCCAAGGUGAUGAUACCAAUGGUGAACUCUGUUAUUGGAUUACAUUUUAUGAGGUUCAUAAAGCGUUGUUGACAAUUAUCAUUAGGUGGAUCUGUAUGUAGCACUUAAAUUGCCUGGCGAGAUUGCAGCCGUGGUAGCUGUUAGCACGUCUUCCAAGCCCAGCUAGAAACAGAACCACGUUUGAUCAAGGACUGCAAUGUCUUAAAAUUGCGAUCAUCAAACAAGAUCUUUCUUGAAAUGAUGUUGCGAAAACGCUAUCCACUACUCAGACCGAUCAAUAUCAUUGUCGACUAAAGGGAUAUCUUGCCAGAAACACUUACAGCAUAGUUAAAAAUUACAGAUGUUUUACUAGUACAACAUCUACAGCUAAUUUUUUUGGUUAGAUAAUGAGUGGUAAUGCAAAUGCCAUGUGAGUCUGGGUCCCUGCCAGCUCAACUGAUAUUUAGGCACAACAAUAACAUAAGCCAGUUGACAGAU
Molecule: RNA transcript, 2002 nt
Organism: Mangifera indica (mango)
Lineage: Eukaryota; Viridiplantae; Streptophyta; Magnoliopsida; Sapindales; Anacardiaceae
Gene name: magnesium transporter MRS2-11, chloroplastic
Exons: 15
Source: RefSeq, a predicted model, not a curated record